This 3765-nucleotide long non-coding RNA is filed under the name Nicotiana tabacum (common tobacco). Its description in RNAcentral is "long non-coding RNA (NTAB_LNC001302)". The record is from RNAcentral. Lineage: Eukaryota; Viridiplantae; Streptophyta; Magnoliopsida; Solanales; Solanaceae.
AUGCCCCCAUCUCAUUAAAACUCACUCCCCAAAACCUAAAAGAGGAGGAUCAGAUGAAAAAACCCUCCUCUCUUGAACAAGAAGCGGCGCACCUCUCUGUUCUUGAGCUAAAAGAAACGAACACCCUCCCCUUCUUCUUCUCUAUUCCCUCCUCACAUUACCCUCUCACCCUUCAACACCACCUUACACACACACACACGAGAAAAUGGCUAAAUAAUAGAUUGAGAUUUUGAGAAAUCAAAUCAAGAUCUGAGAGUUUAGGAGCUCGAAAAAAAUACAAAGGAGCAUAGACGAGUUUUUAAAGUUCAAAUCUGUUCUCCUGGGUUUACAAGAGCUGUAGAGGAUUAUUAAGUGCCCCUGCUGUUGUUUUGAAAUUGGCUGAGCUUUGUCCGUUAAUUUCUGGCUUUAAUUGGGUCUUCUCAAUUACUGUUUUCCUGAGAUAAAGGUAAACAACAUGAACUUUUGUAUGUUUCUGCUUUUCAAUGAUAAUAAGCUAUGGAUUCCCAUCACAAACCUGACUUCGUAUGCUCGAUUCCAUGCCUUAUUCUUGUGAACAUUGUCAUAUAUGUUCCAUCUUCGUUUUUCUUUUAAUGGCUAUCUCUUUUCAUCUGUUUUCUAUGGUCUUAGAUCUGGAGUUCGAUGCUAGUUCGCUCUUUCGAGAUUCAUGACUAAUUUUUAACCAAUUGUAUGAUUGAUAUUGAUUCCCUUUAUUCUUGCAAUUAACAUAUUUACUUCAUUUUUAAAUUUACAUUUCAAUUUAUUUAAUCUCCCAUGACUAUUUUAAAUCCCAUGUUACCUCCUAGCCAUACACGAUGAAGUAAUUUUCUUGUGGUAAAACUGAUUAAACAUGUGCUCUUCCUUGUUAGAAUUCUAGAGUUAGUAAAGUGUCAUGUGUUCGGAAUCUGUAUUUCGUCCCUAAAAUUUGAAUGCCUAUGCUCAAGUAUACUUUGCUUUAUUUGACCGAAUUUGGAAGCUACUUGGGCAAUAUGAUCUAAAACUACACCGGAGCCAUGUUUACUAGAUAUAUUUAUUUUUUGGAACCAUGUUAACAUCCGAACUUUAGAAUACUCAAUGACAAUUGGCACGCACGAAAGCUCUUUAAACCUUAAGCUCUUUGGAACCGUGUGACUCUUUGAGGGGUUCUCAAUAAUUUUCCAUUUGAUAUUCUUCUCUUCAAACCUCAAGUUUUGUUUCAUGGUUUCUGCAAUUGUCUUGUGGGUAUAUUUGCAUGGCCUCACAACAAUCUUGAACUUAGGAAAUGAAUAAUUAUGAACAUGCGCUAGUUUCCAUUUGUGUUGUUCAUUGUUCUUUAGUUUUCUGUUGAUUUGAUAUGCUAAAUAUCUGUUUCGAUCAAGUGGUGGAAAAUUUGUUUUGAAAAACUGAUUAGCAUCCGAGAGAAUGAUGUGCGUUACGUACUUCUUAGAGAUUGAAGUUUGUUUGCUUUAGUCAAAGAUUGAAGUUUGUAUCUUAGCCCCUUGUCCUACAUGUAAUGGUUCAUUAGUUUUAGAAUGACAAUUAGUAGACAAAUAUGAAAUAUUGUAAUGCUCACAACAGGUACUAGAUUGAUCAAGUAGUAAGGUACAUAAUUCUUUUUAUCAAGAUUUAGACAUCAGUUUGUUAAGUUGUUUUUUAUUUUAUUUUAUAAAAUCAAGAUUUAGAGAAUCAGUAGCAAGUAUAUGAUGGCUAAUUGUUUAGUUGACUAUUAAGCUACCUAAGCAUUAAUAUAUAAGUUGUUUCUGUUUGUGCUUUAUGAAAGAAAGACGUGUGCUUUGAGCUGAUUCCAUCAUUCUUUUUACCUGUUAUGAUUUGAUUUAUCUAUAAAAUUGACUGUUUUAAACCAUAGACUGAGUUGGAUUCAUUUUUUGCUAUACAUGAAUAUCCCAGUAAGAUUUGUUUAUUGCUAUCAUGCUAUGUCAUUUCUCUUCUUUUUUUCCCUCUCACACGGACAAUCCAAAAUGUUUGAUUUUCUUCAUUGGAUCUCACUGUGUUUAUGUAGUGGUAGUGGUUUCUUUUUUAGUUUUAUGAAAACAUUUAAAGAUAUUUUGUUCAUGUUUUUGGAAUUCUUGAGAGGUUAAGUACUCAAAAUUUGACAUUUCUUAUUCUUAAUUCUUGUGGUUAUUUUGCAGCCAAAGAGAAGUUGAAAAUAUUUGUUGUGUAACAUCGAGUAAGUAGUUUAUACACCAGUACUUAUUUCUUAUUCUUCGGGGGUAAAUUUAUUAGAAAUUUACUUAAUUAAUCUAAAAAUGCAAAACUAAAUUCUAAAUGCAGAUGUUAUAUUUUUGUAUUUUCAAUGCAUUAAUUAAAUAUGCACAAAAUAUGCAAACACUUAAGCAAAUUACACAGUAAUUCCUAAUUUUAACAAAUAAUUAGAUAAAAAUCUAAUUUGAAAGACUGAUUAGCAUCCUUUGUUCUACAGGCGGGUUCCUGAUUACUCGAACUUGAAUUGCUUCUUCCUUUCGUUCUCCAGGCGGGCUUCUGACUACUUGACAUUUGGAUUGUAUUCCUUUGUUCUCCAGGUGGGCUCCUGAUUGCUAAAACUCGAAAUGUAUUCCCUUAUUCUCCAGGUGGGCUCCUGAUUGCUAGAUUUGAAAUGUAUUCCCUUGUUCUCCAGGUGGGCUCCUGAUUGCUAGAUUUGAAAUGUAUUCCCUUGUUCUCCAGGUGGGCUCCUGAUUGUUGAAACUUGAAAUGUAUUCUCUUGUUCUCCAGGUGGAUGCCUGAUUGCUGAUACUUCAACUGUUGUUCCUUGUUCUCCAGGUGGACGCCUGAUUGUUGAUACUUCAAUUGUUCUUCCUUAUUCUCCAGGUGGAUGCAUGAUUGCUAAUAUUUCAACUGUUAUUCCUUGUUCUUCAGGUGAACGUCUGAUUGCUGAUAUUUUAACUGUUUUUUCUUGUUCUCCAGGUGGACGUCUGAUUGCUGAUAUUUCAACUGUUUUUCUUUGUUCUUCAGGUGGACCGCCUGAUUGCUAGUAUUUGGUCAUGCUCUUAUCUUUAACAUCCGUGUUGUUCUCCCUGUUCUUCAUAUGAGUACCUGAUUUCAACAAAAAUAGACAAAACAAAAGAAAUUUUCUGCCCCAGUUUGGUAGUUGGGCGCAUCUGUGAGUGUUAAACUGAAUCAUAUUACCAAAUAUUACUAAGAAUUUGAAAGCUAGGUCCCAUUAUCCAAGGGGGGUCCUGAUAACUCUUAACUAAACGACAAUUUUAAAUCUAAGUUAUAUCUUUUAAAGGUAUGACUUCUGCUAAAUCUUGUUAUCUAAGGUCUUAAACUACUCCCCAUUAUCCGGGAGGGUCCUGACAACUCUUAAUUAGCGACCAUUUUAAAGCUAAAUUAUAUCUACUGAAGGUAUGUCUUAUGUUAAAUCUUGUUAUCCAAGCCAGUUUUAAACUACGUCCCAUUAUCCAGGAAGGACCUGACAAUCAAAAAUCAAGACUUAUCUUAAGAGUGACAAUUUUACGGCUAAAUUGUACUCUCUUAUAACAACAUUUAUCUAAUUGAAUGCUUAAAGUUACGUCCCAUUAUUCAUGUGGGUCCUGAAAAUUGUUAUGCGAACUUUGAAGCCAACUUAUAUCCCUUUUGGUGCACAUUUGUCCUAUAUUCACUACUUAUAUUUUUUUCUGGAUUUUAACCUAGGUCCUAUUUUACAAUAGGGUCCUGAAGUUUCGAAUUGAGGCUUGUCUUAAAAAAAUAAAAAAUUCAAAUCAACUUAUAUUUUCACGAAGUAGAACUUAUGUUAGAUCUUGUACUCAUGAAUGUUUUGAAUUAAAGCUA